Molecule: ribosomal RNA, 431 nt
Filed under: uncultured bacterium
Lineage: Bacteria
Description: partial 16S ribosomal RNA
Rfam family: Bacterial small subunit ribosomal RNA
Source: RNAcentral
AACGAACGCUGGCGGCAGGCUUAACACAUGCAAGUCGAACGCCCCGCAAGGGGAGUGGCAGACGGGUGAGUAACGCGUGGGAAUCUACCCAUCCCUACGGAAUAACGCAUGGAAACGUGUGCUAAUACCGUAUACGCCCUACGGGGGAAAGAUUUAUCGGGGAUGGAUGAGCCCGCGUUGGAUUAGCUAGUUGGUGGGGUAAAGGCCUACCAAGGCGACGAUCCAUAGCUGGUCUGAGAGGAUGAUCAGCCACAUUGGGACUGAGGCACGGCCCAAACUCCUACGGGAGGCAGCAGUGGGGAAUAUUGGACAAUGGGCGCAAGCCUGAUCCAGCCAUGCCGCGUGAGUGAUGAAGGCCUUAGGGUUGUAAAGCUCUUUCACCGGAGAAGAUAAUGACGGUAUCCGGAGAAGAAGCCCCGGCUAACUUCGUG